UACGAAGGGGGCUAGCGUUGCUCGGAAUUACUGGGCGUAAAGCGCACGUAGGCGGCUCUUUAAGUCGGAGGUGAAAUCCUGGAGCUCAACUCCAGAACUGCCUUCGAUACUGAAGAGCUCGAGUCCGGGAGAGGUGAGUGGAACUGCGAGUGUAGAGGUGAAAAUUCGUAGAUAUUCGCAAGAACACCAGUGGCGAAGGCGGCUCACUGGCCCGGUACUGACGCUGAGGUGCGAAAGCGUGGGGAGCAAACAGG
This 254-nucleotide ribosomal RNA is filed under the name uncultured bacterium. RNAcentral's name for it is "partial 16S ribosomal RNA". It matches the Rfam family "Bacterial small subunit ribosomal RNA", at positions 524 to 776 of the family's 1533-position model. The record is from RNAcentral.